AACAGCAAGCAUGGAAUUAUUUCUGUGCUCUGAUGGGCACCAAUAUUCAGCAUAUUUAUCAGGUUUUGAUGGGUCGUAUUCAUGGUAAGAACAUGAUGCUAGUAAAGUAGUUAAUAGGGAUAUAAAUACGUAUUUUUGUAUACGGACCAUUAAAGCUUAACCUAAAUAAAGUCAUAAUUCAUGAUGAUACGUCUGCGUUGUGAUCGUGUAAAUAAUUGAAACGUAAGAGUAUGUAAUAUUUAGCGCUGUUUAAUCUAUUCAACCAUCCAUAAACGCAAAAAGACGAGCACAAUAAUGGACAUGC
RNAcentral lists this unclassified non-coding RNA (304 nucleotides) under Moritella viscosa. RNAcentral describes it as "putative sRNA". Lineage: Bacteria; Pseudomonadati; Pseudomonadota; Gammaproteobacteria; Alteromonadales; Moritellaceae. The record is from RNAcentral.